RNAcentral lists this ribosomal RNA (229 nucleotides) under uncultured bacterium. RNAcentral describes it as "partial 16S ribosomal RNA". It matches the Rfam family "Bacterial small subunit ribosomal RNA", at positions 568 to 796 of the family's 1533-position model. The record is from RNAcentral.
UGCGCAGGCGGAAUGAUAAGUCAGUAGUGAAAUCCUGCAGCUUAACUGUAGAACUGUUAUUGAUACUGGUUUUCUUGAAUAUAGUUGAGGUAGGCGGAAUGUGUAAUGUAGCGGUGAAAUGCUUAGAUAUUACACAGAACACCGAUUGCGAAGGCAGCUUACUAAGCUAUGAUUGACGCUGAGGUACGAAAGCGUGGGGAGCGAACAGGAUUAGAUACCCUGGUAGUCC